ACUUUAAUACGCUGUUCCAUAUUCUGACAAUGUGAUCUAUGUCAUUCCUUCAUGUCAUGUUUAAUGAGCUUUAGGUUUUCUUUUCACAUAAAAUUCAUAUGCAAAGAUUUGUCAAACCCCUUUAUAAAAGCAUCUUGUCACAUAUUUGUCCAUAAUGGAAAAUAUCAAAAUAUAUUUUUGUAUUUUGUAUGACUUAUGCAAUCAUAAAUCUCUUCUAGCAACAACAACAUUAUCUUCUUUCCACUCUUAUUUUUCAACAUUAUUAGAUGCUAGUCACAAACCAAACAUAAACUUCCAAAAACAGUUAUAAUUUAUGCAUAGUACUAUUACUAAUAUAUUCACAUGCAUAACUGUAUAAUAUAUUUCACAUGUCAUGCUAAGAAGUUCCUACGUGUCUUGCAUAUAAGAAUUGUCAGAUAUCAUACUCUAGAGUAUGUGGUUCCUCUAUCUAUCCCGUGAUCAAACAGUGAUUCAAAUUCAAUUAUUCUUAUGCAUCCACAUCAACUAGGAACAAACUUCCAAAAUAUACUUGGUAAACUUUUUGGAUUUUUCCUGAAAAAUAAAACUACUUUUAAAUACUUAUCUAUCUAGUAGGUAUGCUUGUGUUUUUCUAUUAUUACAUUUUCAAUUUUUGAGAUACAUUAUAAAAUAUGGAUACUCAUUGGAUUAGGACUAUACCGGUACAUGUCGUUGUCUGUGUUUGUGUCCGUGCUUUAUAGGUGAUACAUAGUUGAAUAGUAAAAUCUUUUUUUUUUUACAAAAGUUGAAUAGUAUAAUCAUAUAAGAUUAUGAAAUUGUAAUAUAUUGUUGAAUAGUAAAAUAAUAUAACAUUUUGUAAUACAUUGUUUAAGAAAACAAACCUGAAACCACAUUUUUUAAUUAGUUAAAGAUUAUAGGUAUUAGCAUGAUUGCACAAAAUAGUCUUUCUUAUUUAGGUAUUUACACAAACCCUAAUUUAAUUUGAUUGUCUUUAUCAUAGACAGCUAAAGGAAACUAGUCUACAAAAUCUUAUUAUUUAGAUUGUUUUCAUAGACAGCUAGAAGAAACAAAGAGCAGUAAAAAGAUAGAGGACUAGAUUCUAUUUUUGUUUUCAACAAGUUUCUUGCACGAUAGUUAACCCUAUUUGAGGCAUUGUGUUACACUAAAUGUGAAAUUUCGUUUGUGUGCACUCAAAACAUAUCAUGUAAUUACACACUCGGUACAUUCCUGGUUCUUCGAUUAAAAUCGGACAAGUCAAAUUUCAACCUCAAUAUUAUAGAUUUUAAAAUGUAUUCAAAACCUGCAACGUCCGAUCUUAAUUCAACAACUAUCGAUGUGUCAACUGUGUUAAUGCACGAGAUUUUGACUGCAUGCAAUCCAAAUCCCUAAAUGUGGAUAACUCUCUCCCUCGGAAUUCAAAUUUUAGUUCGCCACAUUAUGGGUUACUACCUAUUCGCUAGACCCAAUAUCGGUUAGUGGAAUAGUUCAUAUUCAAACAAUGGGUAUUACUAAGUAAAGUAGAACAAGUAACCAUUUUACGGUCGUUUCUGAAGAGAUUUGAACUCAAGUUAGUUGAAGUUAAAAGAUCAAACUCUUAUUACUGAUGUGACAUAUGAUUGAGAAAUAGUGUCUUAAAUAUAUUUAUAUAGACCUUCAUUAUUUAUUUAAAAGCACAAUACAAAUUUGCAUUCCCUUCACAAGAAGACAUUAUUUCUGAAAACUCAAACCUCAUCACAAUGUCUUGGUUCCUUACAAUUCUGUUUCUCAGUCUCACAUUUGGUACUAAUUUUUCAGAAGCAAACCAUGACAACAAGAAGCUUCUUCCUUCACCUGUUGUAGUUGGCACUGUCUACUGUGACACAUGUUUUCAACAAGCUUUCUCUCUAAACAGCCACUUCAUUUCAGGUAAUCCAUUUCAACCUCAAAAGGGUACUUCAAUUUUAUAUCUCUUAAAAUGUUGUAAAAUUUUUCUAAACCUUAUCAUAUUUUAUUUUGUCCUUGUUUUUAUGUAUAGGUGCAUCAAUAGCUGUUGAAUGCAAAAUAGGAAAAACAAAACCAAGAUUCUAUAAAGAAGUGAAAACAAAUGAACAUGGAGAAUUCAAAGUGAAACUACCUUUCUUAGUGAAGAAACAUGUGAAGAGAAUCAAAGGGUGUAAUUUUAAGUUGUUAAGUAGUAAUGAACCAAAUUGUGCUAUAGCCUCAACUUCUACUUCAUCUUCACUAAGCCUAAAGAAAAAGUUGCAACAAGAACACAUUUUUUCAGCUGGGAUUUUCUCAUUCAAGCCUAUAAAAAAACCAAAAUUUUGUGACAAAAAACAUAGUAUUCAUAACCUUAAGAAACAACAUAGUUAUGUGAAAAAUUUGGAACAAUCAAAAUUUUCAAGCAAAAAUAAAGUACCUAAUGAAGUUGAAGAUUUCUUCUUUUUUCCUCCAAACCCUUUUUUUCCACCACCUAUUAUCCCUAAUCCACUUCAACCUCCACCUUUGAUUCCUAACCCUUUGCAACCACCACCUUUGAUUCCAAAUCCAUUUCAACCACCAAGUCCACCCUUGAUUCCUAAUCCAUUUCAACCACCAAGUCCACCACUUAUUCCAAAUCCAUUUCAACCUCCUCCAUCAAAUCCACCACUUAUUCCUAAUCCAUUUCAACCUCCCCCAGCAAGUCCUCCACCACUCAUUCCAAAUCCAUUUCAGCCUCCACCAUCAAGUCCACCACCAUCAUUUCCUUUUCCACCAAUAGUAAUACCAGGUUUAACUCCAUCACCACCGCCGC
RNAcentral lists this long non-coding RNA (2752 nucleotides) under Medicago truncatula (barrel medic). RNAcentral describes it as "long non-coding RNA (MTRU_LNC003856)". The record is from RNAcentral. Lineage: Eukaryota; Viridiplantae; Streptophyta; Magnoliopsida; Fabales; Fabaceae.